GUUAAUGUAGCUUAAAAAGAAAGCAAAGCACUGAAAAUGCUUAGAUGGGUAUUCACACCCCAUAAACA
This 68-nucleotide transfer RNA is filed under the name Dremomys pyrrhomerus (red-hipped squirrel). RNAcentral's name for it is "tRNA-Phe". It matches the Rfam family "tRNA". From Rfam's summary of the family: Transfer RNA (tRNA) molecules are approximately 80 nucleotides in length. The record is from RNAcentral. Lineage: Eukaryota; Metazoa; Chordata; Mammalia; Rodentia; Sciuridae.